GGAAGUAAAAGUCGUAAUAAGGUUUCCGUAGGUGAACCUGCGGAAGGAUCAAUAGGAAGAGAGAUGUGAGCGCGGGAGCGCGAACAUAUGGGUGCGCUGUGCCAGCCAGCCACGCGGGAGGCGAGUGCAGAGUGACACACGGGUGCGAACGGAGAGAAGAUUGUGAAAGGAGAGAAGGAAGGAAGAGAGAGUGAGUACCCUCAACAACGGAUCUCUAGGCUCUU
RNAcentral lists this unclassified non-coding RNA (224 nucleotides) under plant metagenome. RNAcentral describes it as "partial contains small subunit ribosomal RNA and internal transcribed spacer 1". The stretch from base 1 to 54 matches the Rfam family "Eukaryotic small subunit ribosomal RNA", at positions 1778 to 1831 of the family's 1831-position model. The record is from RNAcentral.